CGGGGCGUGGCGCAGCCUGGCAGCGCACCUGCUUUGGGAGCAGGGGGUCGGAGGUUCAAAUCCUCUCGCCCCGA
RNAcentral lists this transfer RNA (74 nucleotides) under Rubrobacter taiwanensis. It matches the Rfam family "tRNA". Rfam says of the family: Transfer RNA (tRNA) molecules are approximately 80 nucleotides in length. Lineage: Bacteria; Bacillati; Actinomycetota; Rubrobacteria; Rubrobacterales; Rubrobacteraceae. The record is from Rfam by way of RNAcentral. RNAcentral also lists the same sequence under 2 other names.